UAAAUAUUUUUUUUGUAUAAAUAACUUUUAACUUUUGUACAAUACGAAUAUUUAGG
Molecule: microRNA precursor, 56 nt
Filed under: Drosophila melanogaster (fruit fly)
Lineage: Eukaryota; Metazoa; Arthropoda; Insecta; Diptera; Drosophilidae
Description: Dme-Mir-972_pre stem-loop
Source: RNAcentral